This 759-nucleotide ribosomal RNA is filed under the name bacterium enrichment culture clone Dan60_18E. Its description in RNAcentral is "bacterial SSU rRNA". It matches the Rfam family "Bacterial small subunit ribosomal RNA", at positions 8 to 780 of the family's 1533-position model. The record is from RNAcentral.
AGAGUUUGAUUCUGGCUCAGGACGAACGCUGGCGGCGCGCUUAACACAUGCAAGUCGUGCGAUACCUUGAGCGAGUCUUACGACAAGCUCAAGGUAGAGCGGCGGACGGGUGAGUAACACGUGAGUAGCUGUCCUAAGGAGGGGGAUAACGCCUGGAAACGGGUGCUAAAACCCCAUAUGCCUCGCAAGAGGUGAAAAUGUAUUACUACAGCCUUAGGGUGUGCUCGCGGCCUAUCAGCUAGUUGGUGAGGUAACGGCUCACCAAGGCUAAGACGGGUAGCCGGCCUGAGAGGGUGUACGGCCACACUGGAAUUGAGAUACGGUCCAGACUCCUACGGGAGGCAGCAGUGGGGAAUCUUGGGCAAUGGGCGAAAGCCUGACCCAGCGACGCCGCGUUGGGGAUGAAGCCCUUCGGGGUGUAAACCCAUGUUGUAGGGGACGAAGAAAGUGACGGUACCCUACGAGGAAGCCCCGGCUAACUACGUGCCAGCAGCCGCGGUAAGACGUAGGGGGCAAGCGUUGUCCGGAAUUACUGGGCGUAAAGGGCACGCAGGCGGUGCGCCAAGUCGAGGGUGUAAAGUUACGGCUCAACCGUGACAUUGCAAUCGAUACUGGCGCGCUGGAGUGCGGGAGAGGGAAGUGGAAUUCCCGGUGUAGCGGUGAAAUGCGUAGAUAUCGGGAGGAACGCCAGUGGCGAAGGCGGCUUCCUGGCCCGCGACUGACGCUCAUGUGCGAAAGCCAGGGGAGCGAACCGGAUUA